Molecule: long non-coding RNA, 266 nt
Filed under: Panax ginseng (ginseng)
Lineage: Eukaryota; Viridiplantae; Streptophyta; Magnoliopsida; Apiales; Araliaceae
Description: long non-coding RNA (PGIN_LNC012199)
Source: RNAcentral
AAUUUGGUUGGAUAAGAAUUAAAGGUAUUGGACUAUGUAUAGCUCAAGUGUGGCCAAUAGGAAUUAGUUAGAAACCCAAGCAAUACAUUAAAGGAAUGGCUCAAUUUUUAGCCCAAGUGGGAGAGGAAUUUUUGGACAUUUGAUAAAUCAAAUAAGCAUUAAAUCAAAGAGCCAAACUUGGUAAGAAUUUGGCCAAGUGGCCGGCUAUUGAAUGAGGAAAGAAAGAGGGGAAACACAUGGUUAAAUCAUUAGGCAACAUUUGGUUA